Molecule: non-coding RNA, 676 nt
Organism: Thamnophis sirtalis
Lineage: Eukaryota; Metazoa; Chordata; Lepidosauria; Squamata; Natricidae
Source: RefSeq, a predicted model, not a curated record
UUCCUUUCUCUUUAAAGCUCUUUACUCAAUUUGUCCUAACUUCGCUUUCCCGUCGUCCCUUGCUAUCCCAAGCAGAGCUGCAGAAGUCAUGCAAGGAGGAGGACGCGAGAAGGUGGCUCGUUUGCUGAAGCAGCUGCAGCUGGCAGCAUGCACGUGUCCAGUUCAUUCUCACACUUACAGUCAAGGAAGGGAUCGAUCGAUCGAUCGAUCUAUGUGGUGCACUCUGGAACAAAAAUGGCUGGAUUGGCUCUAGAUUUAGAUAGAAAGCAAAGCAAUAACCUGGUUAUUAUAAAGGUGAGUAUUUUUUUCAAUAGGUCUACUCUAAAUGUAGCUAAGUCCAGAGAUAAUGCCAUGCCAUAUUUGGAAUGGAAGGGAGGGGGAGAGAAUAACUAAUCUGUUCUCUGAUUUACCUGAUCUUUUUAAAGAUUCUUUUAAAUUUAAAUGAAAUUAAAUGGGAAGAUGGCAGGCUGCAAUGUGCCAGCCUUAGGCCUAGAGGUGUUCUUAAAAUUAAAAACAGUAACUAAAAAAGUUGAACCCCUGCAGUAUUGAGUAUCAUAAUUUUUUAAAAAGAUUUGUUGUUGUUACUUGCAACAUCUUGUCUGACCCAUCACUACCCCAUGGACAAUAUUCCUCCAGGCCUUCCUAUCCUCUACCAUCCUCUGGAAUCCAUUUGGUG